Molecule: long non-coding RNA, 674 nt
Organism: Aphidius gifuensis
Lineage: Eukaryota; Metazoa; Arthropoda; Insecta; Hymenoptera; Braconidae
Exons: 3
Source: RefSeq, a predicted model, not a curated record
CAAUUUAAAUCUUAUAAACAGAUUAUGACAGAUUUAUGAUAAUUAUUUUUUUAUUUUUUACAGAUAUAGAGUGGAAAGAAAUGGAGCAUCAAAAUGCCAAGAGACAAGAGGUACUAGUUGUGCAAUAUUUCAAACCAUUUCAUUUUAAUUUUUCAAAAUUAUUUCGAUUUAUUAAAUACAAAUAGUAAAUAUUCAAGUGUUUAAUAAAAUGACACAGUGAUUUUUAAAAAAGUAUGUAGUGCUAUUGUCGUGAAUCUGUUGAAAAAUAAAUGAAUUAAUUUAUUGAGACUAGUUGGAUUAAAUGUACAUGGCCUUGCUGAGUAUUUCACCUGGAGCAACACAUGCCAAUAAAUAGGAAGAUCAAGUGAUGAGUUGACACGUGCUAUAUGUGUCACCAACUAUACAGAUGAUUAAUAGCUAUCCAACCUACAAUCACUAAUUGAUCCUUAAUGUCUGCUACAGAGAUCUGCAUCAGCAAAGUCAACGAGGACACACUUAGUGAUACUUGAGGCACACGUCUGCUUCAACCGAGCAAAUUGGCAGUGGUGUAUAGGGGCUAAAGAGAGAAGAGAGUAAAUGUACAAAAUGACUGAAACAAAGUUUCGUUUUGCCCGGGAUAUAGAGGCCAUGGUACCAGCAGACUGGAUGAGACUCACUAAAAACGACCAAAUGAA